RNAcentral lists this ribosomal RNA (467 nucleotides) under uncultured bacterium. Its description in RNAcentral is "partial 16S ribosomal RNA". It matches the Rfam family "Bacterial small subunit ribosomal RNA", at positions 28 to 506 of the family's 1533-position model. The record is from RNAcentral.
GACGAACGCUGGCGGCGUGCUUAACACAUGCAAGUCGAACGGAAAGGCCCUGCUUUUGUGGGGUGCUCGAGUGGCGAACGGGUGAGUAACACGUGAGUAACCUGCCCUUGACUUUGGGAUAACUUCAGGAAACUGGGGCUAAUACCGGAUAGGAGCUCCUGCUGCAUGGUGGGGGUUGGAAAGUUUCGGCGGUUGGGGAUGGACUCGCGGCUUAUCAGCUUGUUGGUGGGGUAGUGGCUUACCAAGGCUUUGACGGGUAGCCGGCCUGAGAGGGUGACCGGCCACAUUGGGACUGAGAUACGGCCCAGACUCCUACGGGAGGCAGCAGUGGGGAAUAUUGCACAAUGGGCGGAAGCCUGAUGCAGCAACGCCGCGUGCGGGAUGACGGCCUUCGGGUUGUAAACCGCUUUCGCCUGUGACGAAGUGUGAGUGACGGUAAUGGGUAAAGAAACACCGGCUAACUACGU